Molecule: transfer RNA, 72 nt
Filed under: Marmota marmota marmota (Alpine marmot)
Lineage: Eukaryota; Metazoa; Chordata; Mammalia; Rodentia; Sciuridae
Also listed under: 1 other name
Rfam family: tRNA
About the family: Transfer RNA (tRNA) molecules are approximately 80 nucleotides in length. Their secondary structure includes four short double-helical elements and three loops (D, anti-codon, and T loops). Further hydrogen bonds mediate the characteristic L-shaped molecular structure. tRNAs have two regions of fundamental functional importance: the anti-codon, which is responsible for specific mRNA codon recognition, and the 3' end, to which the tRNAs corresponding amino acid is attached (by aminoacyl-tRNA synthetases). tRNAs cope with the degeneracy of the genetic code in two manners: having more than one tRNA (with a specific anti-codon) for a particular amino acid; and 'wobble' base-pairing, i.e. permitting non-standard base-pairing at the 3rd anti-codon position.
Source: Rfam by way of RNAcentral
GGGGUUGUAGCUCAUUGGGAGAGCAUCUGUCUAAUGUGCAGGAGGCCUUGGGUUUAAUUCCCAGCAACACAU